AAAUGAUAUUUUUUAACUUACCAACACAAAAAAAGUUCAGGAUCAGACGGAUUCACAGUUGAAUUCGACCAGACAUUCAAAGGAGAAUUGGUAUCAAUCCUAUUGAC
This is a long non-coding RNA of Sapajus apella (tufted capuchin), 107 nucleotides long. RefSeq lists it as uncharacterized. Lineage: Eukaryota; Metazoa; Chordata; Mammalia; Primates; Cebidae. The transcript is spliced from 3 exons. The record is from RefSeq and is a predicted model, not a curated record.